GAUGAACGCUGGCGGCGUGCCUAAUACAUGCAAGUCGAGCGAACGGACGAGAAGCUUGCUUCUCUGAUGUUAGCGGCGGACGGGUGAGUAACACGUGGAUAACCUACCUAUAAGACUGGGAUAACUUCGGGAAACCGGAGCUAAUACCGGAUAAUAUUUUGAACCGCAUGGUUCAAAAGUGAAAGACGGUCUUGCUGUCACUUAUAGAUGGAUCCGCGCUGCAUUAGCUAGUUGGUAAGGUAACGGCUUACCAAGGCAACGAUGCAUAGCCGACCUGAGAGGGUGAUCGGCCACACUGGAACUGAGACACGGUCCAGACUCCUACGGGAGGCAGCAGUAGGGAAUCUUCCGCAAAGGGCGAAAGCCCGACGGAGCAACGCCGCGUGAGUGAUGAAGGUCUUCGGAUCGUAAAACUCUGUUAUUAGGGAAGAACAUAUGUGUAAGUAACUGUGCACAUCUUGACGGUACCUAAUCAGAAAGCCGCGGCUAACUACGUG
Molecule: ribosomal RNA, 497 nt
Filed under: uncultured bacterium
Lineage: Bacteria
Description: partial 16S ribosomal RNA
Rfam family: Bacterial small subunit ribosomal RNA
Source: RNAcentral